This 567-nucleotide ribosomal RNA is filed under the name Brevibacterium sp. RNAcentral's name for it is "bacterial SSU rRNA". It matches the Rfam family "Bacterial small subunit ribosomal RNA", at positions 349 to 926 of the family's 1533-position model. Lineage: Bacteria; Bacillati; Actinomycetota; Actinomycetes; Micrococcales; Brevibacteriaceae. The record is from RNAcentral.
GCGCAGUGGGGAUAUUGCACAAUGGGGGAAACCCUGAUGCAGCGACGCAGCGUGCGGGAUGACGGCCUUCGGGUUGUAAACCGCUUUCAGCAGGGAAGAAGCGAAAGUGACGGUACCUGCAGAAGAAGUACCGGCUAACUACGUGCCAGCAGCCGCGGUAAUACGUAGGGUACGAGCGUUGUCCGGAAUUAUUGGGCGUAAAGAGCUCGUAGGUGGUUGGUCACGUCUGCUGUGGAAACGCAACGCUUAACGUUGCGCGGGCAGUGGGUACGGGCUGACUAGAGUGCAGUAGGGGAGUCUGGAAUUCCUGGUGUAGCGGUGAAAUGCGCAGAUAUCAGGAGGAACACCGGUGGCGAAGGCGGGACUCUGGGCUGUAACUGACACUGAGGAGCGAAAGCAUGGGGAGCGAACAGGAUUAGAUACCCUGGUAGUCCAUGCCGUAAACGUUGGGCACUAGGUGUGGGGGACAUUCCACGUUCUCCGCGCCGUAGCUAACGCAUUAAGUGCCCCGCCUGGGGAGUACGGUCGCAAGGCUAAAACUCAAAGGAAUUGACGGGGCCCCCCCAC